Molecule: ribosomal RNA, 1244 nt
Filed under: metagenome
Description: bacterial LSU rRNA
Rfam family: Bacterial large subunit ribosomal RNA
Source: RNAcentral
UGAAUACGAGAUGCUACGGCGUCGAAGCAGUGUAUGUCAGACUUCCAAGAAAAGCUCGCAAUGUCAUAAAUAAAGAAUGCCUGUACCAUAACCGACACAGGUGGGUAGGUAGAGUAUACUAAGGGGCGCGAGAUAACUCUCUCUAAGGAACUCGGCAAAAUAACUCCGUAACUUCGGGAGAAGGAGUGCCUUCUUUAAGAAGGUUGCAAUAACAAGAUCCAAGCAACUGUUUAUCAAAAACACAGGUCUCCGCUAAGUCGUAAGACGAUGUAUGGGGGCUGACGCCUGCCCAGUGCCAGAAGGUUAAAGAAGUUGGUUAGCUUUUGCGAAGCUGAUGACUGAAGCCCUGGUGAACGGCGGCCGUAACUAUAACGGUCCUAAGGUAGCGAAAUUCCUUGUCGGGUAAGUUCCGAGCCGCACGAAAGGCGUAAUGAUUUGGAUACUGUCUCGGAGAGGGACUCGGUGAAAUAGACUUGUCUGUGAAGAUGCGGACUACCUGCACCAGGACAGAAAGACCCUAUGAAGCUUUACUGUAACUUGAAAUUGAAAUUGGACUUUAUUUGCGCAGUAUAGGUGGAAGGCGUUGAAAGUAAUCUUGCGGGAUUAGUGGAGCCAUCAGUGAGAUACCACUCCUAUAAUGUUAGAUUUCUAACUUUGGAUCAUGAUCUGGUCAAAGAACAGUUUCAGGCGGGCAGUUUGACUGGGGCGGUCGCCUCCCAAAUGGUAACGGAGGCGUACAAAGGUUUCCUCUGAACGGGUAGAAAUCGUAUCUAGAGUGUAAAGGCAUAAGGAAGCUUGACUGUGAGACCUACAAGUCGAGCAGGGACGAAAGUCGGUCUUAGUGAUCUGACGGUGCUGAGUGGAAAGGCCGUCACUCAACGGAUAAAAGUUACUCUAGGAUAACAGGCUGAUCUCCCCCAAGAGUUCACAUCGACGGGGAGGUUUGGCACCUCGAUGUCGGCUCAUCGCAUCCUGGGGCGGUAGUACGUCCCAAGGGUUGGGCUGUUCGCCCAUGAAAGCGGUACGCGAGCUGGGUUCAGAACGUCGUGAGACAGUUCGGUCCAUAUCCGGUGUAGGCGUUAGAAUAUUGAGAGGAGCCUUCUUUAGUACGAGAGGACCGAGAAGGACAUACCUCUGGUGUACCAGUUAUCGUGCCAACGGUAAACGCUGGGUAGCUAUGUAUGGAGAGGAUAACCGCUGAAAGCAUCUAAGUGGGAAGCCCACCUCAAGAUGAGUAUUCUCAC